AGAGUUUGAUCAUGGCUCAGAUUGAACGCUGGCCGCAUGCUUAACACAUGCAAGUCGAACAGCAGCAUGUUUCAACUUCGGUUGGAAUGAUGGCGAGUGGCGGACGGGUGAGUAACGCGUAGGAAUCUACCUAAGAGUGGGGGAUAACUCGGGGAAACUCGAGCUAAUUCC
This 171-nucleotide ribosomal RNA is filed under the name uncultured gamma proteobacterium SUR-FREE-20. Its description in RNAcentral is "partial 16S ribosomal RNA". It matches the Rfam family "Bacterial small subunit ribosomal RNA", at positions 8 to 170 of the family's 1533-position model. The record is from RNAcentral. Lineage: Bacteria; Pseudomonadati; Pseudomonadota; Gammaproteobacteria.